This 253-nucleotide ribosomal RNA is filed under the name uncultured bacterium. RNAcentral's name for it is "partial 16S ribosomal RNA". It matches the Rfam family "Bacterial small subunit ribosomal RNA", at positions 524 to 776 of the family's 1533-position model. The record is from RNAcentral.
UACGAAGGGGGCUAGCGUUGUUCGGCAUUACUGGGCGUAAAGCGUGCGCAGGCGGCUUCUCAAGUCAGGGGUGAAAGCCCAGAGCUCAACUCUGGAAUUGCCUUUGAGACUGAGUGGCUUGAGUACGAGAGAGGUGAGUGGAAUUCCCAGUGUAGCGGUGAAAUGCGUAGAUACUGGGAGGAACACCAGUGGCGAAGGCGGCUACCUGGACCGGUUCUGACGCUGAGGCGCGAAAGCGUGGGUAGCAAACAGG